Pungitius pungitius (ninespine stickleback) is the source of this 1391-nucleotide long non-coding RNA. RefSeq lists it as uncharacterized. The transcript has 3 exons. The record is from RefSeq and is a predicted model, not a curated record. NCBI's taxonomy places the organism in Eukaryota, Metazoa, Chordata, Actinopteri, Perciformes, Gasterosteidae.
AAGGAGGCUUUGACCAUGUCCUGGAUGGAGACUGGACCCCAUCCAUUCACAGUAACUCUGUGACUGUUUUUUUUCUUCUGUUUUUUAAGCUAUGAUUGUAUUCAAUGUAAUGUAAUCAAAAGAAAUGCACGUAACUCCUCAUUGCACCACUAUAUCCAUGGAAAACUCCAAAUACCUAGUCGCCAUGAACGCACCGGAAGACGUCAUGUGCCCAGAGGCGUGGACACUGCCUCACCAACUCUUACCCAAUCACCACAGAAGAACUUAGUCACCUUUAAAGCCUCUAGAGGGCGCUGUGCUCCUAAAGUGAAGGAAAACAGGAAGUGACGUUCGUUCUAAAGACGAAAGAUCUAAAGCCCUCUGAGGGCAAAUUAACGAUACUGUGCUUUACAAAAUAAAAUAAAAUGAAUUAUAUAAUCAUGGCAGAAACUGACACCGCCCCCCUGCGAGGUCUACAAGCAAAAUAAAUCGUGGACAUGUUCACAGCAGCCAUCUACUGUGACCCCAAGGACCACAGGUGAAAUGUGACCUCUGACCCUCUCUGUCACAGAGGGGGGGGGCAGGGGGCCGUGAGGUUGGAUCAGCGCUGUGAAGCAUCCAGUGAGCUCCUGUCCUGUCGGGUCCAGCAGCUGAAGCAGCGGCCCAUGUGAUGGAGACGUGUGCUUCUGAGUGAUGUCAUGAUCUACAUGUUAAAGGUGGACACACGUGUGGGGAAGGACGCAUUGUUCCGUAGCUCUGAGGACCAGCUUGAGACGUCUCCUGGUCUCCAUGGCGAUGGGGGUCCUUCCUAUACUGAAGCAGGACCAGAGUGGGAAGGUACCAGGAGCACCAGGAGCCUCCUCUCUGUUAGAACCACACACACCAUGUGACACGUCCUCUCUGUCCUGUCCUCCAGGACGGAUGUAUUUACAGUAGAUGUUUAGUGUCUUUAUUCAUGUCCUUGUUCUAGUAAACACGUUCCUCUCAGGGCUUCACAUGCGUUCUUUUUAGAGCUUUGAGCUCCAUCCGAGUUCCAUCUGACCCCUUUUUGUUUGAGACUCUGCUUCUCAGAACAAAACACACAAGGAAAUGUAAAGAAGAAAAGACAAAUAUAUGUGUUCUAUCAAUCCAUCCUUCUUCUCUUUGGUACAUUUACACCAUGAGGCCUUGUUAACAUUUAAGGUCUUCAGAGAGCAGCCAGUGAGGAAAUGUCCCUCCUGAGCUGCUGUAGGUUCAGGCUCCUCCUACUUCCUGGUUCACUCAUUAGUCUAAAGGCCGCCAUUACAUUGUCAUCAUUGAGCUGUAGGUACUUUUAUCCUCCGUGUUUUACCACUAAUGAUUUGACCUUUGGUGACUCUUCUGGUUUGAGUCACAGAUCCAGUUCAAAUCAAGGCCCAAACCAGGUGUUUUAC